UGCGUGUGCGUGUGUGUGUGUGUGCGUGUGUGUGCGUGCGUGUGUGUGUGUGUGUGUGUGUGUGCUUGGUGAUCACUGCAUUCUAUCCCCUCGUCCUCCUAAUGUCCUCCUUGCUUACCUCGUGGCUGUGUGUCCUUGGGGGGGCCCUGGGGGCGUUCUGACUUGUUCUGGCGCCUCCACGGGGCAUCAAGUCCACUUCCUCCUCACAUCUCCCCCCCCGCUCCCCCCCCCCCGCUCUGAUGUGUCUCUCUGGCCCUUUGUCCUCCUCUCUCCUCCGUCAUCCCUCCACCGCACGAGCUCGGCUUCCUCGCCAGGCACAGCGUUUGACUCACGAUGCCCGUCACCGAUCAUCAGACCGGGGGGGGGGGCGGGGGGGGCUUAGCCGACUGUACACGAGCAUUAAGAGCAGUGACCUCGCUGCCAGCUGCCAUCCUGUCCCCACGUUACCCGGCUGCAUGUCUGUCAUGAACCAACACCCUUCUGCACAUAUUUCUACUGCAGUGUGUGUGUGUGUGUGUGUGUGUGUGUGUGUGUGUGUGUGUGUGUGUGUGUGUGUGUGUGUGUGUGUGUGUGUGUGCUCUUGUUCUUCUAUGCCGGUGGGGACCUAUACCUGAUUGCACACAGACCGGUGGGGACUUGUGUCCCCGUGGGGACCUAAAGUGAGGUCCCCACGGGCAAACCCCUCCCACAAGCUCCAAAAUGGUGUCUAGAUACACCCCCAAUGAUUUUUUCUGAGGUCCCCUGGAACAUCAAUUUCAUGACAAAACUGUGUGAGUGUGUUUCUGAAUGCGCCCCUAGUGGAUGCACACGGGUACUGCAGUCCCCAUGAGGUUGGCUGUUCUUGAAGUGUGCGUCGCUGUUUUUCCACUCACUACCGCCCCCUAUCGGUUCAAAAGUGGUAUUUUCGCAACAUACACUUUCAAUGCUGUCUGUUUGAUGGUGGUAAAACAGACCACAAAUAAAAUGCUUUAUUUCAUAAAAAGUAUACAAAUAAAUAAACCAAAAAAUUCAUACAUACAUAAUAUUAAUACUGAUAUUGAUCAAAUUAUUCAAUUAAAUAAAAAUCAAUUUCAUUAAAACAAUUAUAAGGUUUAUUUCAAAUGUAUAAAAUGUUAGACUAGCCUUUAUGUAAACUCUUGCCUGUUUAUUUUAUACUAUUUUAAGGAUAUGUUGUUAUUAGUAUGUCAUCAUUGAUAUUAUUGACAAUCGUAAUAAUAGUCUAUAUUUGAUUUCAUUCAUCAUAUGAAUAGUGUAACAUGAAUUAUUGCAGAGAUCAAUAAGGUCUUUUAUUUUCAGAUAACUUGUCUUAAUAAACAGUGCCCACUGUUCAAUCACAACGCUAUGGAUGAUAAUAGACAAGCAAGUAUAGAGUUGUAUCCAUAGACAAAAUAGGAGUACAAAAGACAUUUUACUUUAAAUCAAUAUAGCAAGAUGCUUUGAUGGAUGACCAUUUAAUGUGUACACUUUCUAUAUCAAAUUAAUUAGGUUAAUAUUUGCGUGAACUAUAAAUGACAAGUUGUUGACUUGCUGAGGGAUUGCAUAGAGCAGGGGUAGGCAUUGUAUGGCUCGCGGGCCACAUCCGGCCCUUUGGCUGUCCGUGACCGGCCUGUGAGAGGUUGAUUGGAAAUUACAAAGUAAAUAUUUUUGUCUAAUUUUACCUCAUGCAUGGACUAAAGCUGCAGUGCUUUUAUUCUUCUCCUUGGCUUUGGACGAGAGCUAACUGAGGAGCUGGCAGCACUGCGCUCAAUGAAAGUGAUAACGACAGGGAGCGAUUUAUUCACGGAGGUAGAUGCAUGCACAAACAUGCUGGGUCUGAAAUGGGACCAAUUUGCAGGUGUCACAACAGAGGCCUGUCCAAGUCCUGUCAAUAUUUUUGCAUUUUAUAAAUGUGGUGACCCCUGCUGUGGAGGCAGCAGCUUUGCAGUGGGAUUUUGUGGGCUGAGUUUGGUGAUUGAAGGCACCUGGGCCCGGUUCCCUGAGAUUAAAAGACCCAGUGUUCAUUCUCUCUUCUCUCUCCAGCAGACGUCCGGUGGUGUGGUCGUGUACCUUUUUUUCGUUGGCUUAUGUUAAAUAAAGAAGAUGUUAAAACUCUUUAAAACAGUACAACUCCAAUCUUGUCAUGGCCCAAAGAGCCAGGUUGUGACAUAAUACAUCAGCCUGUGUUGCAAGUCAAAAAUUAACCAUGUCAUUGAUGUUGUCACUAAAAUAUUUAACUUCAUCAGGGCACAACCAUUGAAUCACAGACAGUUUGCUACACUUUUGGAGGAGCAUGAGAAUGAACAUUGUGACAUAGGCUACGACACAGCACAGUCAUGAUUUGAUUGUUAUAUAUGUAAACUAUUUAAAAUCUAUAACACCCCAAUAAUGCAACUAAAACAUCAAAAAUGGUUAGGGUGGUGUUCUUGUAUAUUUACCCAAGUGCUUUCCUGUGUUAUUUUUAGGCUAUAGUAUCAAUAUAAAACAUAUUUUACUGUAGGAUGCCUUAGCCUGGAAUCAACCAAGGCCUGCAGUGUGAGCUAUUUUGCAUCUGAAUUACAUGAGGGCAAAGGGAAAAAUUGCCCAUAAGAAAUAUCAUUUUGCCCCAAAUAUCACUACGAAAGGGGCCAAAAAUGCCAUUGAAUGUUUUUGAGUCUCGCCUUGACUGUUGUUCCGUGUGCGGGAAGGAUCAAACGUUCUUAAAAAGAAAAAAGGAGCACUUCUUGAUCAGACCUGUGAGUUCGCAGAGAGCAAAUCCAGUCUCCGUCACCAUCUCAGGUCCAAAAGAAAAAGGCCCUCAAAUUUAGCAACAACCAAUGUCGUUGUCUACCGGGGAAUUCUUCUGCUGACUUUAUCAAGUGGAGCAAAAACAACAAGAAAUACGUGUCCUUUCGUCACCAGGCAACCGAGCAACAUAGUGGGUGAUAACCAGUUGUUUCAAAAGUAUUCACAUUCAUUACUCAAGUAGAAGUAUAGAUACUUCUGUUGAAGUAUCAACUCAAGCUUUUAACUUAAGUAAAAAUACUGAUUGUGUAGGUGUAAGGGGAAAUAAUUCCAUCAAGUACAAAGUCUUAAUGUGUAAUCUCGCUCACAGAACAUGUCAGUCCAUUACAAUAGACAAUAAUAAUUCAGAUCAUGUGAACCUGCCGUUCGGAUGAUGUAAACAUGGUGAUGUUCAGAGAGGCAAUGCUAAAACAUAGGGACACAUGCUCAAACAAAUAAAACGCCCCUGGAUACUUCCGGUUAAGUUAACCAUCAUGUGUUGAUGAUGUCACAGAGGUGCGCGGUUUUGUGAAAUAAUAAAGAUGGACGGAUACAGCGCCAAUGACUAAUAUUAGUACUACGUGUUUUACUUGGACAAUUAAAUGUCAGUGGACACUCACAAAUACUACAGCCCCCAUCACGAUUACAAUUGUUCACUCCUCAGUGCGCGGUUUCGCCCACCAGCGGAACCCCUCCGCCCCUAAACCCGGCCGGUCCGCCCGCAACUUUCAACGUGCUUAUUAACUGACGGACCUUCUUGCGGUCCGCGAAAAAGGUUAUUAAUAGUAUAUUAAGUUGACGCUUUGUUGCGUAAAAUAAAGACCAAACGAAAAGAAUAAAAUGAUCUUCUGUCAUUCACGUAAGAAAAUAAACUCACGUGUCUGCAGCUCAAUAACAACACCGAAGGAACAACGUCUCGACCCCGGUUUAAGUCUCCAGCAGACGAGGAGUAGCCUCGUUAGCAGUUUAGCUAGCUAGCAUUUAUCGCUCUCCCAUGUUUGAAAUAUCUAACCGUCCUGCCUCCACAUACGGUUAUGUCCCAGGUGUGGUCUUGAAAAGCAAGUUCCAUUUUUAUGUAUGCAUCAAUGCAUUCCAACUAAUGAGGCUUGCUAGCUACCCUUAGUUAACGGUUCACAGACUGCUGUCAGUGAGAAAUAUUUCCACUCUCCUAUAGGGUUGGGUACCGAGAACCGGUACUAAUAUAGCACCGGUUCCUACGCGGUACCUACCGUACUGAAAUGCAACGCAGAUUUCGGUGCUUAGUUUCGGUUCCUGAGCCGAUUGAAAAAAUUUAUUUACACACUCUGAUGACACCGUCCUCUCAGCAGCAAACGAUAGCCUACCGUGUGGCAAGCUAGCCAUCACCCUUCUAUUCUAUUUAUUUAAGUCAGUAUUUCCCUCCCUCUUUCAGCACGCGGCACUAUCGCCCAGACGGAUGCAGGCACACUAUUGCGCGCACACACAGACACGUGCGCAUACACAGGAGAGCUGCGCUCUCCAGCGGACACAGAGCGUGAGUCCGCAACUACCGCACCCCUCCCGUCGGACAGCCCCCCACUGAAGUAUUAAACAGAGGGUGUAACGACGUUCCUUCGGUGCUGUUCGCCAUUAAGCCAAGUGCGUAACAAUGCAUUCUUUAGGAAAUAUUGAGAAAAUACCAAUCUAACCCCCCCAAUAUACAUGGUUACGCCCUUGAAUGGGGCCUAAAUAUUAUGUGAAUUUCCUACGCUGCUAUGGCAUGACAUAUUAUGCAGCACGAUAAAGUGUCAUUAAUGUCUACAUUGAAUCAACGGUGCUAGAAUAUUUGGUGUUUGGUUGUCCUCCCCCAAAGCCCAUAUAUAUGGAUAACUUGCCAACGAUAUAAACUAUUUGACAAAAGUAUAUAGAUAACACUGCAAUAAGUAAGACAAAUCUUUCGAUAUGAGACAGGCUGUCUCAGUUGAGUUGGGGUCUGAUAGGCGCAGAUACGAAGACAAUUGGUUGAAGUUGUCAACAUCAAAGGGGGCUGACUUUGGCAGUCUAGAAAGCUUUUGGAAUACACCCUGAAACCAGAGAUGGGGAUGGUGAGAAGAAAUUCAGUCUGAAGAAGAGUAAAUGGGAUUGGGUCAAGGGUGUAUGUGGUGAGGCAGUUAGAGUACAUACUGAAACCUCUUGUGAAGCAACAUAAGGCCUCCUGAUGGUAUCAGCCCCAGGGUGCUGAAGACCUGCGCCAUCCAGCUGUCUAAAGCCCACCAACAUCUCCUUAUUCUGAACCUAAAGCAGCAGGCAGUCCCGAUGCUGUAGGAGACACCGUGGCCUCAAUGACCACUGACUAGUUGCCCUCACAUCCCAUGUGAUGAAGGUGCUGGAGAGGCUGCUCUUGACCCACCUUCAAGCCCAGAUAAAAUCAUCACCGGGCCCUCUGCAAUUUGCAUUGCCUUAUGUGGGAGUGGAUGACGCCAUCAUCUACCUGCUGCCACGAGCCCAGUCGCACCUGGAUGGUGGCUCUAUCCCUUUCUUUGACUUCUCCAAUCAGUGAUUCUGGCGCUUCACAGUUCUGUGUACCUUGUACACAACUCACUUCAGUUAGGGCAGCUCCGACCGCUGGGCGCUACAUGACUUGUAAAAAUAAAUGCUGCAGCCUGCCGAAGAGCAACGUCAGUUUUUACGGCAUAAUGCCGGUAUGAACAGUGCGUGAGUUACCGUAAAACCUUGAUUAAAGACUACAUAGAAGACUGUAAAAAUUGUCAGCCCCUCCCCACUCUUUAUUCUUAAACCGGAAAUAUGAUCAUUAGCGCCUAAAACGUUUUGUGUAUUCUUGUGUGAGUACUACACUUUUAAAUGCUAUUUCCCAUUCUAAAUUCAUAAUUUAUGUCUGCACAUAUAAAUACUUGUUCUGAAUACAAGGGCUUGUAAAUGUGGUAGUUGUAGUUUUUAUUCUUAAAAUAUCAAUGUUUGUCUACAUUUUUAAUUGUUCAAAAAUGCUUCCAGUUUUAUUAGAAAUUAAAUAAAAUACAUAUUAAAAUGUAUACUUAAUUCUAGUUGAGUAAUAACGUCUCAACUUCACCAGGUAUUUUAUGUAAUCCUUCGGUUUUAGUAAUUACUAUUACCCUUCUACGUUAUUAACAAGGCCCAGCAGAACAGGCUGAGCCCCAAUGCUCCCUCAAGCUAAUGGUGACUGAAGGAGUGGGGGGAUGGGCGAGGGUACGGUGGGGACAGUCAAUGUCAGGUUUUGUGUUAAGAACCUUAAGUUUCGUUUUUUUACACAAAACCGAACUGUUACCAUCCACGUGGGGUCCUCGGUCUGGCCACGCCCCCACCAAGCACCUGCUACCGUCCAUUUCCCUCAGACUGCCGAGCAGCAGACAACGUGACGGUGCUGGCUGCAGAAGCUGGAUAGAAAUGGUGAGUUUUUAAUUAUUGGACUAGCUUCUAAUGUAAAACAGUGCUUUUUACGUUUACUUUGAUACUAUUAAUAUAUGUACUGCCAUAUAAAAUGAGCUGUUGCAAUGUGCUAAACUCAACUUAGAUGGGAAGCUAAUGUUAGCUAACAAUAAGCAAGCAUGUGCAACUAGCACCACAAAUAGUGCUGUUAAGUUUACUUUGAUACUAUUUUCAUAUGUACUGCCAUAUAAAAUUAGCUGUUGCAAUGUGUUAAACUCAACUUAAAUGGACAGCUAAUGUUAGCUAACAAUAAGCAAGCAUGUGCAAGCAGCAGCAUGUGCACGCGUUGUGAAAUAGAAUGCUGGACAGCUAAUUAGUUAUUUAUUAUAUACUAUAUAAAUAUAUUCAUGUUUUAUCAAUAUCUUUUCACACAGAAUGUGAAUAUUAUGCUCAACAAAGGGAGUGUAAUACUUAAUCUGCGUUAAGACCUGGAUUAUAACUAAUUUCCCUUUAACCAUUUUAAGUAUCCUUACGGUGGCUUUUGGGCCUAUAACACUUAAUAAGCAGUUUUCCAUUUGCCCAAAGAGUGAUUGUAAUAUCUACCCAUGUAUAAAUAGGCAUUUUAAUUCAGAUUGUCAUAAGUAUUGAGAUAGAUAAUAUAAUGUUUGUCGUUAAGAACAGAAGUAGAUGUUACUAUAAUGCAUUCCAUAACAGAUAAACUUAAUUCAUUUCAGUAAAAAUAAAAAAAAGAGUACUGUAAUGAGUUGGAUGUAUAGCUUUGGCUGAAUGUGUCCCUUGUGCUUUUAGGAGGAUGGAGCAUGUUUGCCAUCCAGUAGUGACAGCUCGAAGUGCACAGAUGCUGAUGUCGGAGAAAUGAAGGAGCCUUUGACCGUGAACAUACUAACCAGGUAGUUCCGAUGAAAAGAUGCUGCUGGCUGGAGAGGUCUGGUGAAUCUCACACAAAAAAGGUAAUCUCUUCCAAGUUUUUCCAGGUUUUCACCUAACA
Molecule: long non-coding RNA, 7108 nt
Organism: Pungitius pungitius (ninespine stickleback)
Lineage: Eukaryota; Metazoa; Chordata; Actinopteri; Perciformes; Gasterosteidae
Exons: 3
Source: RefSeq, a predicted model, not a curated record